CAUGAAGCAAAAUAACCCAAUUUAAAAAUGGGCAAAUUUAGUGAUUUUUCUUUACUUGAAUUAUUAUUCUUGACUGAAGAAAAUACAGAGAUGGCAAAUAAAUAGAUGGAAAGUUGCUGACUAUCAGGGGAAUACAGAUUAAACCCACAAGAUACCACCGCACAGUCACUGCACUGACCAUACCAAGUUUUGGCAAGGAUGUGUCAUAAUGGGAACUUUCCUACAAAACCGACGGCGAUGGAGAAUGCUAUUAAAGUGUGUCCCCCUAAAAUAUAUGUUGAAGUCCUAGCUCCCAGUAGCUCAAAAUGUGACCGUAUUUGGAAAUGGAGUUGUCGAAGCUGUAAUUAGUUAAGUUGAGGUCACACUGGAGUAGGGUGGACCUUAAUUCAAUAUAAGUGGUGCCUUACAAAUUGGAGAAGACACUGAGACACAGGCGCUUGGGAAAGCACCAUGGGACAAUGCUGUGAUACAUCUACAAGCCAAGGAAAACCGAGGAUUGCCCGGACUCACCAGGAGCUGGAGGAGGCAAGGGAGCAUUCUUCCCCAGAGCCUUUGGAGAGCUUGACCCUGCUGCGGCCUGCUGCUGCACUUCUCGCUCAGAACUGGGAGAGAAUCGAUGUCUGUUGUUUCAGACCACCCCGUUUGUGGGUGUUUGCUACAAAAGCUCUAGGAAACUAAUCAUCCACUCUCCAUCUCUUUUUUUCCCUCGUUCUGCCUUGUGGAGACACAUGGAAAAAGUCCUGGUCCCUUCUGCAGAUAUUUCCAGAUGUUUUGAGAACACAUUUUUUUUUCCAGGAAAAUAUCUCCUUCCCUGGUUUUUUACCUGAUACAUUUUCAAAUCCUUUCAAUAUUCUUUUGUAGCGCCAAGAUUUUCAAAGAUGCUCUAAAGUGUGAUAACCAGAACUGAUCUAUUUGAAACAGUUUGAUCUACAAAAAAUAAUGGAAUUUGCUGUCUGGUUCAGGUCAGGGAUUUUCAAGCUGUUACUCAGAGCUUUAGGAGUUCCUUGGAGGUAUGCCAGGGGCACACUUGACUGUAUUUCAUGUAAAUAAAAUACCCUUUCUGACA
Suricata suricatta (meerkat) is the source of this 1066-nucleotide long non-coding RNA. RefSeq lists it as uncharacterized. The record is from RefSeq and is a predicted model, not a curated record. The transcript is spliced from 2 exons. Lineage: Eukaryota; Metazoa; Chordata; Mammalia; Carnivora; Herpestidae.